Molecule: long non-coding RNA, 172 nt
Organism: Rhodamnia argentea
Lineage: Eukaryota; Viridiplantae; Streptophyta; Magnoliopsida; Myrtales; Myrtaceae
Exons: 3
Source: RefSeq, a predicted model, not a curated record
AGAAAUAAAGGGCAAAAAAAUGAUUUUUGUUUUCAAAGCUGUAACUUUUUUUUCUACUUCUAGGGUAUAUGAGGCUAAAGAAUGUGAAAGCUUCUUUGUUGGGCUUAAAAAAGCAGUUAAGUGACUAUAACAGAUCCUACAAAAGUUGAGCAUAGAAUCAUGAUAAAAAUGC